Molecule: long non-coding RNA, 114 nt
Organism: Brienomyrus brachyistius
Lineage: Eukaryota; Metazoa; Chordata; Actinopteri; Osteoglossiformes; Mormyridae
Exons: 2
Source: RefSeq, a predicted model, not a curated record
GAGACAGGCAUACACGGCACACACGCAUACACACAGAGGCAGGCAUAACACGGCACACACGCAUACACACAGAGACAGGCACACACGGCACACACGCAUACACACAGAGGCAGG